This is a long non-coding RNA of Triticum aestivum (bread wheat), 687 nucleotides long. RefSeq lists it as uncharacterized. Lineage: Eukaryota; Viridiplantae; Streptophyta; Magnoliopsida; Poales; Poaceae. The transcript is spliced from 4 exons. The record is from RefSeq and is a predicted model, not a curated record.
CUCGACAUCCACACCGAAAGCCACCUCCAGCCGCUUCUUUUGACUUCCAACAAAGUCACGCCAGAGCACAGUCGACGCCCGACAAAGUUACGCCCAGCUGCUACAAUCCACGUCGAAAGAAGUGACCGCAAAGCACUUCUGGCCUGCAUCAUCAGAUUGACAUAACACUAUGGCAUACAAGAAGUUGAGCGACUUAACUACAAGGGGACAAAAUUGGAACAUUCAAGUGAAAGUAAUGAGAAUGUGGGAUUCGAUCAAUCCUACGACCGAUGAGCUUAUUAGCCUAGAUAUGAUACUAAUGGAUGAGCAGCAGGGUGAAAUAAUCCAUGUUACUAUCUGGAAGAAUCUUAUAGACGCUUUUAGAUCAAAGAUCAAUGAAAAAUCUAUUUAUGCAUUCAGCAAUUUUAAGGUCGUGGAAUCCACAAAAUAUAGGCCAGUGAGCAAUGACAUUAAAAUAUUUUUUGCAUACAAUACAAAGGUAAAGGAGAUAAAAGAAUCUUCAGAAGUUUUCCCAGAUUAUUGCUUCGAGUUUGCUACCAUCGAGACACUAGAAGAAAGGGCAGAAAAAGAUACACAAUGCUCAGAUGUCAUUGGACUACUAACACAAAUGAAGCCUGUGGAGACAAGAAUAACAAAGAAGAACCAACAACCUUCAUAUAUCCGCGAGAUUGAAAUCCUAAUGCCAGA